GUUAUAUUCAGGAGCCCUCUGCACAGGAAAUAUCCCUUGGGCAAGAGUAAGUGAUAUCUUUUCUGGCUAAAAUUCCAUUUACUUCGAAGUGGGAUAAAUUGAAGCCUCCUCAUAAUGCAGUCCACAGGAACCAUGCUGCAUGCAGAAUUGAAGGAUUUUUUAGAAGGUAGAUAACUGUAUUGCUGAGAAGAGCUAAGUCUAUCAUAGUUGAUCAUUGCACCAUGCUGCUGUUACUGUGGACAAUGUUCUCCUUCAC
This 256-nucleotide long non-coding RNA is filed under the name Phascolarctos cinereus (koala). Its description in RNAcentral is "lncRNA (ENSPCIG00000032377.1)". Lineage: Eukaryota; Metazoa; Chordata; Mammalia; Diprotodontia; Phascolarctidae. The record is from RNAcentral.